GACGAACGCUGGCGGCGUGCUUAACACAUGCAAGUCGAACGGAAAGGCCCUGCUUUUGUGGGGUGCUCGAGUGGCGAACGGGUGAGUAACACGUGAGUAACCUGCCCUUGACUUUGGGAUAACUUCAGGAAACUGGGGCUAAUACCGGAUAGGAGCUCCUGCUGCAUGGUGGGGGUUGGAAAGUUUCGGCGGUUGGGGAUGGACUCGCGGCUUAUCAGCUUGUUGGUGGGGUAGUGGCUUACCAAGGGUUUGACGGGUAGCCGGCCUGGGAGGGUGACCGGCCACAUGGGGACUGAGAUACGGACCAGACUCCAACGGGCGGCAGCAGUGGGGAAUAUUGCACAAUGGGGGGAAGCCUGAUGCAGCAACGCCGCGUGCGGGAUGACGGCCUUCGAGUUGUAAACCGCUUUCGCCUGUGACGAAGCGUGAGUGACGGUAAUGGGUAAAGAAGCACCGGCUAACUACGUG
RNAcentral lists this ribosomal RNA (468 nucleotides) under uncultured bacterium. RNAcentral's name for it is "partial 16S ribosomal RNA". It matches the Rfam family "Bacterial small subunit ribosomal RNA", at positions 28 to 507 of the family's 1533-position model. The record is from RNAcentral.